UCUUAUCGAGAGCGGUAGAGGGACGGGCCCGUUGAAACCGCAGCAACCAAUGUUAAAAUUGGUGCUAAUUCCCGCAGGUUUAUUCCUGGAAGAUAAGA
Molecule: non-coding RNA, 98 nt
Filed under: marine sediment metagenome
Also listed under: 1 other name
Description: SAM riboswitch aptamer (S box leader)
Rfam family: SAM riboswitch aptamer (S box leader)
About the family: The SAM riboswitch is found upstream of a number of genes which code for proteins involved in methionine or cysteine biosynthesis in Gram-positive bacteria. The SAM riboswitch acts at the level of transcription termination control.
Source: RNAcentral